This 211-nucleotide long non-coding RNA is filed under the name Gossypium barbadense (sea-island cotton). RNAcentral describes it as "long non-coding RNA (GBAR_LNC018047)". Lineage: Eukaryota; Viridiplantae; Streptophyta; Magnoliopsida; Malvales; Malvaceae. The record is from RNAcentral.
AAAAAUCUGAAAUUAAAAGAAAAAUAUAUAUACAUUCGAAAUUAAAAAAAAUGAAUUGAAAAAAAAAGGUGUAGUGAUUCAAGUGCUGAAAAUUGGAAAGUGUUUCCGAGUUUGUAAGUCUGGUAUUCUUGCCUACUCAUUUCCUAUUCUUUCUACACCACACUUAGCUUAAACCUUCAUUGUUUCUUAGCCUACCCAUAACCUAACGUCA